UAACCUGCCUCUUAGCGGGGGGUAACUAUUGGAAACGAUAGCUAAUACCGCAUAAAAGUCGAUAUCGCAUGAUAUUGAUUUGAAAGGUGCAAUUGCAUCACUAAGAGAUGGACCUGCGUUGUAUUAGCUAGUUGGUGAGGUAACGGCUCACCAAGGCGACGAUACAUAGCCGACCUGAGAGGGUGAUCGGCCACACUGGGACUGAGACACGGCCCAG
This 217-nucleotide ribosomal RNA is filed under the name uncultured bacterium. RNAcentral's name for it is "partial 16S ribosomal RNA". It matches the Rfam family "Bacterial small subunit ribosomal RNA", at positions 122 to 334 of the family's 1533-position model. The record is from RNAcentral.